UGUUGUAGUGGUUUCCAGGUGACAUCAGAAAGUUGUGGAAUGAGUGUAGAUAAGCAGAGAGAGCUUGUUCAUAAACUGCCAUAGCAACCCAUUGGAUUGAGAGUACAACAACUUCACAAUGUAUAUGUGGACACCAGCUUAUGUGUACACCAACUUCACAAUGUACAUGUGUACAUGUGAUUAUCACGGAUAGUGUACAUGUGGAUAUUGUUAACUGAUGUGUUUAGGCCUCCUUACUUUGUUCUUAGUGAUGUAUGGGAAUCGUUUGCAGAGUGGAGUGCUUACGACUGAUUCUGAUGCCUUAAGCUCACCUCAGCCAAGUGAAACAUAUGCCUGAGACACUCUUACAAAGGCUGUGAACAAGGAUGAUGCUACGUUGAUUUUGGUUAACUGAACUCAACUGACUUUCUAUGCUGGAAUUGAUUUUGCAUUCUAUGCUGAGAGUGCCUCAUAGAAUCUGGGAAGCUUUGAGGAUACAACCAAGCCAAUGCUGCUUCACAAAUUUGACUUCCCUUGUCACAAUAUCCUUGAAGCUGGUGAAAACUAUAAGCAACAGCCAUAAUCUAAGGAUGUUUUUUUGGUGUUUUGAUAGAACAUGUACUAUGGAGUUUAUAUUCUUUUUGUAUGCAUGUAAAUUUGAACGUACUGUUUUUUUA
Molecule: long non-coding RNA, 656 nt
Organism: Brassica napus (rape)
Lineage: Eukaryota; Viridiplantae; Streptophyta; Magnoliopsida; Brassicales; Brassicaceae
Exons: 3
Source: RefSeq, a predicted model, not a curated record